UUUUUUUUUUUUUUUUUUGGGUAGUUAGGCCUGCAUUCAAUUAUAAUGAGCAAUACCUCUCAGUAGUACAUGAUUUUCAAAACUAUAGAUUUGGAAAUGGCACAGUUUGGUCAUGAAAAAUUAUAAAGCGCAACACUAAAUAUACCAACUAAAAUAUUAAUGAGUAUAUAAACUUUGUUCAAAAGACAUUGGUUUUAGACUCUCUCUGACCCUACUAGUCCAUAUUUGAAUUUUCGGUCCCAUAUGCUUGUAAUUAUAUUCUAGCACAAAGUAAUUAGCCAUAUUAUGCUUCAUUUGCACUUUCAAACCAGCUGUGCUUCCAUGUGAGCAGCCAUGAUACAAUUUAAAAACUAUUGUUAUGCCCCCAACUAAAAAAUCAACUUUUAGAUUGAAUAAUCACUAUCACUAUGUUUGGGAGUUCUUCUUGAAUAGGAAAAGAAAUGACAGUCCUUAAUGCAUGGAAUACGAGAGAACAGUACUACAGUUUCAAAGGAUAACUAAUAAUUUCUUAUCCUUUCUUUCCUAACCUCAUUAAACUCCCAAACAACAGAUAUCUAUUAUCUUUUUGCACUUUCCUUUCCUAUCCCUUCCUAUCGAUGCAUCCAAAUGAAGUGUAUAGAAAUAAAAGACAGAUGUUACAAUGUUACAUCCACUACAAGAGGGAAAGAAGGAAGGAGAUAGAUAACAUUGAUAAAAUCUCACACUUUAGCUUAAGAUAACAAUUAUGCAUGACUAUUGCAGUGGCAGAACACAAUUUGUGCCAUUGAAUCAUUGAAUAAUAUAACAAAGAGUUAAACAGCAGCACCAUCAAUAGAAAAUUCAUAUAAUCAGUAUGCAAGUAGCUUCACUGCUGUAUAAAUAGUAUUACAUAAAAAGAAGCAACAGUAACAAAAAUUACCUACCACUUUCAUAUAUAGUCACAGGCA
This 926-nucleotide unclassified non-coding RNA is filed under the name Hevea brasiliensis (rubber tree). Lineage: Eukaryota; Viridiplantae; Streptophyta; Magnoliopsida; Malpighiales; Euphorbiaceae. The record is from RNAcentral.